RNAcentral lists this long non-coding RNA (970 nucleotides) under Androctonus crassicauda. The record is from RNAcentral. Lineage: Eukaryota; Metazoa; Arthropoda; Arachnida; Scorpiones; Buthidae.
AGGAAAAACAAGUCUACUAGGCUCACUUGAAGGAAUUGAUUUUAGAGUUCUGAAUGCUGAAACUCGCAACCUGUUUUUCUGGCAACCUUUUAACAUGCAGGGGAAACUAGUCACAAACUCCUGGCUUUAUAGAGAAAGUGAUUCCGCAAAUACUUCAGUGGUUUAAGGCUCUUGCUAUGUAGUUUAUGUACCCCAUCAUACCCGGCUUCCAUUCCACAGUGAAUGAGUGGAUGAUACCUUUGUCCCUGGGGAAGAUGGUUUUGAUUUGUAGUUGCAUUCUUUGAGGUGGAGGGAGAACCCAGCAGGUGACAGUGGUCCUUGUCUGGGAUGAGUCUCUAGGCAUGGGAAGGAUGGGGAUAGAAUGAGCAUGGGAUUUGACGACUAAUGUUAGGACCAAGUGAUAGAACCUGGUGGGUGUGGAUUUCCAUGAAUACCAGCCUGUGAUCUGGAAUCUUGUGAGAAUGAGUCACACCUUGUCUCCCAUUAUUGAUAUGUAGCAUUGACUUUAAACUUGAUAACUGAAUGUCUCUCACCUGGCCCCUUGCUGGUUCUUCAGAGAGAACCAUGUGUACUGCUGGGGGAAUGACUGGUUUUUGGAUUCUGUACAUUCCGUGGGAACUUGCUUCCCUUUCCUGCCCCUCCUGCUGACUGGGUUUGCAGCAUUGGCCUCUCUAAGCAAUGCCAGCCUAAUGCCCAUGCCCUAUACUACUGUCUUUCGAUUCUUACUGUGGCUAACCUUGGAAUUUUCCUAUAGGAAAUGUGAUCAGAUCAGAGACACUUGACUGUUGGGAGUCAGCCCUCAAGGCUUGGUGAGUCCCAGGAUCUUGGAGUUGCUAGAGGAAUGUAGUCACACCAUGUAGGUGGCAUGAGAGAAAAGGAAUCAGUUUACCUGCCAACUCCUACUAUGGAGCCUUCCACUGACCUUGUGUAGAAAGAUCAGGGAUCCAGGCUAGAGUGACUGAAUGCUGAC